Molecule: long non-coding RNA, 2199 nt
Organism: Oxyura jamaicensis (ruddy duck)
Lineage: Eukaryota; Metazoa; Chordata; Aves; Anseriformes; Anatidae
Exons: 2
Source: RefSeq, a predicted model, not a curated record
UCCUCAUGUUAAUAUGAAUAAAAGUAACACUAGUACGUUACAUUUAAUUAGCAUCUAAACUAAAGAUCCUACGCCCUGCAAGCGAUUUCCACCCGGGAAAUGUUGUCUGACAAGCAAACGCAGCCAGCUCUGAUGCGGCGUGGGGCAGCUUUUCCAGAUGAACAAGAAUAAAGGGGAGAGGAUGCAAAUCCAGCCACGGGCACAACAACCAGGGAGCUCCUGUGCGAGCACACUGCAUCGUCUCCAGCACAGGGCUGCGCGCUCCUGGGUACGGCAGAGGAGCAGAGGAGGACGCACUGUGGUACAGAGGAGCUGUUCUAAAACUGAACUCAGAAGCAAUGAGAAAGCUGGGGAUAUUAUUAAUGUAAUAACCUCUAAUGCAUGGCAUUAGAAUUGCAAACCGUCUGGUGAAAUUUCCAAGUGGCCAGGUGAAUGGGAGGACUGCAUAAAGCAUGGGUAACGGUAUGUAAAUUACGAUGUAUAUCAGCUUAAGGAGAACACAGCAUGAGAACAUCUGAGCAUAACAAGAUUGGAAAGGUCCUCUUGGCUGCAGAGAGCAGAGAUCCUCCAGAGAGCACCCACCUCAGCCCGGAGGCCCACCACCACCCCACCGCCGCCUGCAGGCAGCUGUCCUGCCCCAGCAGCUGGCGCUGCCAGCGAUCUGCCUUCGCGUCAGGCAGCCCAGGGACCAUUGCAUUUGUCUGUUCUCAAAGAAUCAGAUCCAAAAUUUUGUGAAAUGAAUAGAACUCCAGAGAGGUCGGCAAGUCUGAAUCGAUUCAUGAUUACGUAUAUGGCGAAAUGCAGAGCAAGCUGCUUAGGACUGGUUGCAGUAGGCCAGUUCCUUUAGCUUCACUAUUUCUCAUUCCUUUAGCUAUGGUGCACGAUCUGUCCCUUAUUUAUCUUUUUCAAAAUGAAAAGAAAACAGGACUGGAGGGGACUUCCUGAGUAACCAAGGAUGAUCUCCCACCAGCGGUGGGAAUGAUAUCAUAGAAACCUUUAUAUUGCCCCUUAGAUCUCCAGGAUAAGGACCGGUCCUUUUUUCUGAGCAACACUGUGCAACUCAAAAAUACACAUAAAUGCAGAAAGAGCCAGAGGUGAUCUAAAAAAUAAAUAAAUAAGGGAAGGGAGAUAAAUAAUACAGAUGGUCCAGGCUACCCACUCUGAACACACUGUGACCUAUGUCACUUUCUUAUAGAUUACUCCAAAUCUCUUAUCUGUCUUUGUGGCUAAUGGCCUGGAAUAAAAUAUUCUCACAUUCAGGCAUAAAGAUAACAAGCAAUCCCACAGAGAAAAUUAGUAGUCAUGUCUACAGCUCCUCCUCUGGACUUCCCUGUGUCAGUUCUGCAGGUUUUCUAGGUUUUCCUAUUGUUACAAGUGAGCCUGCUUGCAGCUGCCUGCGGAGCAGGUGAGCAGCCUGCGGAAAGGCAGGGCUGGGCGUCAGCCUCGGCCAGCCUGCGGACGUCACCCACCCUAAGGAACAACGCGAGGCUGUCGGAGGCGACCUUUGGCACUUACUGAAUAAAUAAAUGAUAAUUAGAUCAGGAGCAUUAUUGCAGACCUUGUAGUCACUAAAAAUAGGGCAUUUGGAACAGGCUGGUUAAAUGCCAUCUCUCCCUAGAAGCCUAAGCAAGGAAAGGAUAAAGACCAUUACUGCUUUCAGUAACAGAAAGAAUGCCUCUUGCUUACGUGGCUGAAGCUGAGUCUUUGUUCCUACGUGUCUUAGCUUCUUCUGCUAAAAAUUUAUAGCAGGGCUUUUUGUGUGGGUUUGAAACCACUCCCAGUGACAGGAGAUGUUCUAGGUAGAACUGCCGCAACUAAGGACCAUCACAGAAUCACUAAGAUUUCUCUGUAUAGUUUACAGAAAUCUUUUUUCAUGGUUAUUUAUUUAUUUAUUAGGUUCCAAUACUACAUUAGUGCCCAAGAAAACCAAAUCCAUAUUGAAUCUAUCUCAGUAGACUUUUUUUUUACUCAACAAAUGGUCUGCGGUAGUUAGAAAAGCAUGUGGAUUUCUACAGAAUUGAGAAAUUGGCUCUGGCAAGCUGCGGUAAAAAAUACAGUUUUCUCUGUGUUGAUUUUUCAAUAUUUAGUGUGUAUUCAGAAUACAUCCUCAAUGCCAUGCUAUGCUCUAUAGACUUGAUAUAUGAUUAUACAGCUGUGACUAAGAAAUGAUGUAUGAAAUAAAAAUCCCUGAACAAUGCA